UACGUAGGGUGCGAGCGUUGCCCGGAUUUAUUGGGCGUAAAGGGCGCGUAGGCGGCUCUGCACGUCCGUUGUGAAAUCGCCCGGCUCAACUGGGCGGGGUCAGCGGAUACGGCGGAGCUCGAGCAAGCUAGGGGGCAAUGGAAUUCCCGGUGUAGUGGUGGAAUGCGCAGAUAUCAGGAGGAACACCGAUGGCGAAGGCAGGUCUCUGGGCCGAUACUGACGCUGAGGGGCGAAAGCGUGGGGAGCGAACAGG
RNAcentral lists this ribosomal RNA (253 nucleotides) under uncultured bacterium. Its description in RNAcentral is "partial 16S ribosomal RNA". It matches the Rfam family "Bacterial small subunit ribosomal RNA", at positions 524 to 776 of the family's 1533-position model. The record is from RNAcentral.